RNAcentral lists this ribosomal RNA (253 nucleotides) under uncultured bacterium. RNAcentral describes it as "partial 16S ribosomal RNA". It matches the Rfam family "Archaeal small subunit ribosomal RNA", at positions 474 to 727 of the family's 1478-position model. The record is from RNAcentral.
UACCAGCACCCCGAGUGGUCGGGACGAUUAUUGGGCCUAAAGCAUCCGUAGCCGGUCAUGCAAGUCCUCCGUUAAAUCCACCUGCUUAACAGAUGGGCUGCGGAGGAUACUAUAGAGCUAGGGGGCGGGAGAGGCAAGCGGUACUUAGUGGGUAGGGGUAAAAUCCGUUGAUCCAUUGAAGACCACCAGUGGCGAAGGCGGCUUGCCAGAACGCACUCGACGGUGAGGGAUGAAAGCUGGGGGAGCAAACCGG